RNAcentral lists this microRNA precursor (57 nucleotides) under Ornithorhynchus anatinus (platypus). RNAcentral describes it as "Oan-Novel-9_pre stem-loop". The record is from RNAcentral. Lineage: Eukaryota; Metazoa; Chordata; Mammalia; Monotremata; Ornithorhynchidae.
GUAUUUUAAGUCAUCUGUAUCUAUUCCUUUACUAGAUGCAAAUGAUUAAAAAUAUGA